Oncorhynchus kisutch (coho salmon) is the source of this 2511-nucleotide long non-coding RNA. RefSeq lists it as uncharacterized. The transcript is spliced from 2 exons. Lineage: Eukaryota; Metazoa; Chordata; Actinopteri; Salmoniformes; Salmonidae. The record is from RefSeq and is a predicted model, not a curated record.
UUUCGGGGUUUGAGUAAGGAGACAAAGCUGAACCAUUUAUUAUGUCUAUGCUGUCUGACUAUGUGUGUUCUUUGCUAUGAAAGGAUCGCAGUUGCAAUGCAGAGGGGGCUCUCAGAGAAUUCAUUUAUAGACACUGAAUUGCCUGAGAGUCACAGGGUUGUGAUAAAGCUCAUAUAAUUAAAGAUGGACUUUGAUAACUAACUCUGACUUGUGUUGUGGUUUGCUCCCAUGAUUUGGUAAAUAGAGGAAAUUUCCACGACAAGAGACGGUGACGGAAUUUCACAAACAUUGCUUUUCCCAGUCUACAAGACGACGUACGGAAGUCAACCUCAGUUCCCGAUGACGUAAGGACUGGUGUCCAUACAUUUAAAAGGGCUCAUUUCAACGUGGAGGUGACGUUCACCACGCUGGAAGGAUGAAUUUCGACUAGACCUGCUAGAAUACAGCACGAGCUGAGUAUGGCAACUUGGUAUGAACUUUGAAAUCUUAUUCACUAAAGAAGAAGAUACAUCCUAGACGUUGAGUUAUCAGCUGCAGCUGUAAACGUACGUGACCUAGGAAAGGACAGACAAUCUCCUGAGAAUGACAGGGACUUCAACGUAUCCACUCUAUAACACUAUGACCAGAUUGAAGAAUCUAAGGACAAUGGUGAUCUCUGCUGGGUAAACCAGUCUUCCAUCUUCGACCCAUUUAUUGAAGCACAGCUCAGUGUAAAUUGUAAAAGUGUAAGUUGCAUUUUCCUUUUCAGAAUGGCCGGUUAUUAGAAUGCAUAAGAUUCUGUAUUUAAUUUAGGUGACACCCAAAAGUGCAUCACGUGGUUACUUAUGAUAACCAGCCAAUCACAAUUGAUUGGAUAUCGAUAUCUCAUUGAAUUGAACUAAUAAGUCAAAUUGCCAGACUUACCUUUUCAGAUCGAUCUUUUAAAUAAUAUCUAAAUUGAUUGGUUUUCUACAAUGAGACAAUUAAAACUUUUCCACAUUAACCUAGAGCAACAAGGCUCUCAGAUUAAUUAAAGUUUAAUUCCCAAAUAACCUAUACAGGUUUGAUGUAUCAUUUGUAGUAAAACGCCAAAUGGAUCUACCUCCUGGUCCUCUUCCCCUGUCUUACCCACCAAGGGUAGAGACAGAGAUGACCUCGCCUACUGAAAUACCGGAUUGGGCAAAGCCACCAGAAGACGACUCAAGCCAACCAACUACUGAACCUGACUGGUGUCAGGAAGAAUCACCCUCUGCCUCAAGUGACACCUCUGAAUGGGAACAGCUGUUAGACUCAUUGCUGAUAGAGUAAGGGCACUGUCAUAAACAGAGGCCCAUAUGCGCACUGUAAGAAAAGUAUUUCCUCAUUGUUGCUAGAGUAAUAGGCUCUGUCAUAACCAGAGGCCCAUAUAUGCACUGUAAGAAAAGUAUUUCCUGUUGUAAGAUAUGUCAUCACCCUCUCUGCUCUGAGGGAAUGGGAGAUGCAGCGGAUCGGGUGCAGAGAAUCAAAAGGUAUAUAAAGAGACAUUUGCCAUUACUUUGGCGCUGACUUCUUGAAUUCUGAAUUCAUUUAGACAACCAUUUGACUUCGGGUAAUUGCCACCUGACUCAAAUUACUUAAAGAUUCUAACUUGUUGGAUCUGAGAAGGGUCUCUCCGAUAUACCGUUUAACUAUUGAACAGCUGUUCUCUCGCCUGUGGCCUUGGUGCUUGUAUACUGAUGCAAAUUAUAUCCAGAGCCAGUCUUUGAAACUGCAACUCUCGAUUGAGCUCAGUACCUCGCCCUAGUUGCAUGGCACGGACGCUGCGGUAGUUCAACGGGACUGAGAGUCACUCUAGUCCUUAAGUUGAUCUCCUGUUAAUACCUACAGUUAUCUGAAUUGACCCUGUCGCCCGCGGCCUUGGUGCUUGUAUACUGAUGUAAAUUACACCCAGAGACAGUCUUUGAAACUGAACCUCUCGGUUGAGCUCAGUACCUCGCCCUAGUUGUGUGGCCCAGACUCUUCGAUAUUCCAGUAGGGCAGGGAAUCACCAGCGGGUUCUCUCAUCCAGUCCAAACUUGAAUCUCUCAAUUUAGUAAAGCACCGACUUCAAGUCAACCUCUCAGCCAGUAGAAGGGAGUCGCUACUAACUAAAUUCAAAAAGAACUCUGACCGAUUGAAACUCUGCUCCUGAUCUCGUGGGUCUCCUCAUCAUCUCUCAAAGGUAAUUAAAUAACUAUUAUAAGUAUUUAAUAUAGAGAUAAGUGUUAUCAUUGUACCAGGCAUUUUAUAGAGCAUUAAGGCUUUUGCAUGUUUUUGAUUAACGCUGUGUGUGACCGAGUAACAAAUUGUGUAUUUUGAAGUGUGUUUGAUUGUAAAAGACAAAAAACAGAGUGUUUUCAAAAAUAAACAGUAGUCUUAUUUUGUCUCGAGUAAAAGGUUCUCUCAAAGACAGUUAACGGCACGGGAGAUAACAACUCUGACACUCCCCGCUACCGGGACACUGGAAACGGGGAUCAAUGCUCUAUGACAGAAUGAGUUACCAUUAAAAGACAA